RNAcentral lists this ribosomal RNA (501 nucleotides) under uncultured bacterium. RNAcentral's name for it is "partial 16S ribosomal RNA". It matches the Rfam family "Bacterial small subunit ribosomal RNA", at positions 29 to 523 of the family's 1533-position model. The record is from RNAcentral.
AUUGAACGCUGGCGGCAUGCCUUACACAUGCAAGUCGAACGGCAGCACGGGUGCUUGCACCUGGUGGCGAGUGGCGAACGGGUGAGUAAUACAUCGGAACGUACCUUAUCGUGGGGGAUAACGCAGCGAAAGCUGUGCUAAUACCGCAUACGCCCUGAGGGGGAAAGCGGGGGAUCGCAAGACCUCGCGCGAUUAGAGCGGCCGAUGCCUGAUUAGCUAGUUGGUGGGGUAAAAGCCCACCAAGGCGACGAUCAGUAGCUGGUCUGAGAGGACGAUCAGCCACACUGGGACGAAGACACGGCCCAGACUCCUACGGGAGGCAGCAGUGGGGAAUUUUGGACAAUGGGGGAAACCCUGAUCCAGCAAGGCCGCGUGAGUGAAGAAGGCCUUCGGGUUGUAAAGCUCUUUUGUCGGGGAAGAAACACCGGCUCUAACACAGUCCGGGAAUGACGGUACCUGAAGAAUAAGCACCGGCUAACUACGUGCCAGCCGCCGCGGUAA